This 497-nucleotide long non-coding RNA is filed under the name Anthonomus grandis grandis. RNAcentral's name for it is "uncharacterized LOC126748163". Lineage: Eukaryota; Metazoa; Arthropoda; Insecta; Coleoptera; Curculionidae. The record is from RNAcentral.
UACACAUAUAUAUGUAGUAUUUAGCGUACGUACCGUUAAGAAAUAAAGAAACUGCACACGGACUCGUAAAAAGGCCUGUAACAAGCAAAUAAUAAUGUUUAUAUUCCAAGAAGUGAAAAGGAAAGAGGCAUUUACAACGCACGUCUCCAUGGAUGGCGUUAUUUGCACUACCCACUGUUAAAAAAUUAGACCCAUAAUUCACACACUCCCACGGGCCACAAUUUUAACGAUCAUUAAAAUUACUUAAAAAAGUUAGCCGAAAAUGAAUGAAAAAAAAUUACGUCAUUGCCAAGGCAUCCUUUAUUUGCGACAGAGAUGACAUCAUUCCUUUAAUCACAUAGGUAUCCUCAUACAUAAAAAUCAAAGGGCGUCAAAUCAGGUGAGCGGGCAGGCCACGCAAUAGGACCUCGAUUUCCUAUCCAAUUAUUUUUAUAUUGUUCAUUUAUAUGGACGCCAUAUUGGAUUUAUACGUCAUUAAAUAGAACGUUUCAACCAUG